UACGGAAGGCAGCAGUGGGGAAUAUUGCACAAUGGGCGCAAGCCUGAUGCAGCCAUGCCGCGUGUAUGAAGAAGGCCUUCGGGUUGUAAAGUACUUUCAGUCGUGAGGAAGGUGUUAAGGUUAAUAACCUUAGCAAUUGACGUUAGCGACAGAAGAAGCACCGGCUAACUCCGUGCCAGCAGCCGCGGUAAUACGGAGGGUGCGAGCGUUAAUCGGAAUUACUGGGCGUAAAGGGCACGCAGGCGGUUAAUUAAGUUGGAUGUGAAAUCCCCGGGCUUAACCUGGGAAUGGCAUUCAAGACUGGUUAGCUAGAGUCUUGUAGAGGGGGUAGAAUUCCAUGUGUAGCGGUGAAAUGCGUAGAGAUGUGGAGGAAUACCGGUGGCGAAGGCGGCCCCCUGGCAAAAGACUGACGCUCAUGUGCGAAAGCGUGGGGAGCAAACAGGAUUAGAUACC
This 453-nucleotide ribosomal RNA is filed under the name uncultured bacterium. Its description in RNAcentral is "bacterial SSU rRNA". It matches the Rfam family "Bacterial small subunit ribosomal RNA", at positions 340 to 786 of the family's 1533-position model. The record is from RNAcentral.